Molecule: ribosomal RNA, 292 nt
Filed under: uncultured bacterium
Lineage: Bacteria
Description: partial 16S ribosomal RNA
Rfam family: Bacterial small subunit ribosomal RNA
Source: RNAcentral
GUGUCAGCAGCCGCGGUAAUACGAAGGGGGCAAGCGUUGUUCGGAGUUACUGGGCGUAAAGGGCGCGUAGGCGGUUUUCCAAGUCAGGCGUGAAAGCCCUGGGCUUAACCCGGGAAUUGCGUUUGGGACUGGAAGACUUGAGAUAUGGAGAGGUAAGUGGAAUUCCCAGUGUAGAGGUGAAAUUCGUAGAGAUUGGGAAGAACACCGGUGGCGAAGGCGGCUUACUGGCCAUUAUCUGACGCUGAGGCGCGAAAGCGUGGGGAGCAAACAGGAUUAGAUACCCUUGUAGUCC